RNAcentral lists this ribosomal RNA (660 nucleotides) under uncultured Calothrix sp. RNAcentral's name for it is "bacterial SSU rRNA". It matches the Rfam family "Bacterial small subunit ribosomal RNA", at positions 99 to 795 of the family's 1533-position model. The record is from RNAcentral. Lineage: Bacteria; Bacillati; Cyanobacteriota; Cyanophyceae; Nostocales; Calotrichaceae.
CGGACGGGUGAGUAACGCGUGAGAAUCUAUCUUCAGGUCGGGGACAACAGUUAGAAAUGACUGCUAAUACCGGAUGUGCCGAAAGGUGAAAGAUUAAUUGCCUGAAAUUGAGCUCGCGUCAGAUUAGCUAGUAGGUGGUGUAAUGGACUACCUAGGCAUCGAUCUGUAGCUGGUCUGAGAGGACGAUCAGCCACACUGGAACUGAGACACGGUCCAGACUCCUACGGGAGGCAGCAGUGGGGAAUUUUCCGCAAUGGGCGAAAGCCUGACGGAGCAACGCCGCGUGAGGGAGGAAGGUUUUUGGACUGUAAACCUCUUUUCUUAGGGAAGAUAAUGACGGUACCUAAGGAAUCAGCAUCGGCUAACUUCGUGCCAGCAGCCGCGGUAAUACGAGGGAUGCAAGCGUUAUCCGGAAUUAUUGGGCGUAAAGCGUCCGUAGGCGGUUUCGUAAGUCUGUUGUUAAAGCGUGUGGCUCAACCACAUACAGGCAGUGGAAACUAUAAGACUAGAGUAUGUUAGGGGUAGAGGGAAUUCCCAGUGUAGCGGUGAAAUGCGUAGAGAUUGGGAAGAACACCGGUGGCGAAAGCGCUCUGCUAGGACAAUACUGACACUGAGGGACGAAAGCUAGGGGAGCGAAUGGGAUUAGAUACCCCAGUAGUC